CCCAGGCCGAUAGCGAACAAGUACUCGCAGACCGAUAGCGAACAAGUAGAGUGAUCGAAAGAUGAAAAGCACUUUGAAAAGAGAGUUAAACAGCACGUGAAAUUGUUGAAAGGGAAGCGCUUGCGACCAGACUCGCCCACGGGGUUCAGCCGGCAUUCGUGCCGGUGUACUUCCCCGCGGGCGGGCCAGCGUCGGUUUGGGCGGCCGGUCAAAGGCCCUCGGAAUGUAACGCCCCCCGGGGCGUCUUAUAGCCGAGGGUGCCAUGCGGCCACCCAGACCGAGGAACGCGUUCGGUCGG
RNAcentral lists this ribosomal RNA (298 nucleotides) under Penicillium sp. BAB-1135. Its description in RNAcentral is "partial 28S ribosomal RNA". It matches the Rfam family "Eukaryotic large subunit ribosomal RNA", at positions 303 to 608 of the family's 3401-position model. The record is from RNAcentral. Lineage: Eukaryota; Fungi; Ascomycota; Eurotiomycetes; Eurotiales; Aspergillaceae.